Regulatory RNA element from Pseudomonas sp. 21C1, 65 nucleotides. Lineage: Bacteria; Pseudomonadati; Pseudomonadota; Gammaproteobacteria; Pseudomonadales; Pseudomonadaceae. The record is from Rfam.
GGGUUGAGCGGCAUGGAUGCCGCGAGAGCCACGCUGGGCCAUGGAUGGCCCUUCGUGGCGUACCC